Molecule: ribosomal RNA, 1336 nt
Filed under: Mycobacterium sp. DWMJ-1508A2
Lineage: Bacteria; Bacillati; Actinomycetota; Actinomycetes; Mycobacteriales; Mycobacteriaceae
Description: bacterial SSU rRNA
Rfam family: Bacterial small subunit ribosomal RNA
Source: RNAcentral
UCGGGGUACUCGAGUGGCGNACGGGUGAGUAACACGUGGGUGAUCUGCCCUGCACUUUGGGAUAAGCCUGGGAAACUGGGUCUAAUACCGAAUAGGACCACGCGCUUCAUGGUGUGUGGUGGAAAGCUUUUGCGGUGUGGGAUGGGCCCGCGGCCUAUCAGCUUGUUGGUGGGGUAAUGGCCUACCAAGGCGACGACGGGUAGCCGGCCUGAGAGGGUGACCGGCCACACUGGGACUGAGAUACGGCCCAGACUCCUACGGGAGGCAGCAGUGGGGAAUAUUGCACAAUGGGCGCAAGCCUGAUGCAGCGACGCCGCGUGAGGGAUGACGGCCUUCGGGUUGUAAACCUCUUUCAAUAGGGACGAAGCGNGAGUGACGGUACCUAUAGAAGAAGCACCGGCCAACUACGUGCCAGCAGCCGCGGUAAUACGUAGGGUGCGAGCGUUGUCCGGAAUUACUGGGCGUAAAGAGCUCGUAGGUGGUUUGUCGCGUUGUUCGUGAAAACUCACAGCUUAACUGUGGGCGUGCGGGCGAUACGGGCAGACUAGAGUACUGCAGGGGAGACUGGAAUUCCUGGUGUAGCGGUGGAAUGCGCAGAUAUCAGGAGGAACACCGGUGGCGAAGGCGGGUCUCUGGGCAGUAACUGACGCUGAGGAGCGAAAGCGUGGGGAGCGAACAGGAUUAGAUACCCUGGUAGUCCACGCCGUAAACGGUGGGUACUAGGUGUGGGUUCCUUCCUUGGGAUCCGUGCCGUAGCUAACGCAUUAAGUACCCCGCCUGGGGAGUACGGCCGCAAGGCUAAAACUCAAAGGAAUUGACGGGGGCCCGCACAAGCGGCGGAGCAUGUGGAUUAAUUCGAUGCAACGCGAAGAACCUUACCUGGGUUUGACAUGCACAGGACGCCGGCAGAGAUGUCGGUUCCCUUGUGGCCUGUGUGCAGGUGGUGCAUGGCUGUCGUCAGCUCGUGUCGUGAGAUGUUGGGUUAAGUCCCGCAACGAGCGCAACCCUUGUCCUAUGUUGCCAGCGGGUUAUGCCGGGGACUCGUAGGAGACUGCCGGGGUCAACUCGGAGGAAGGUGGGGAAUGACGUCAAGUCAUCAUGCCCCUUAUGUCCAGGGCUUCACACAUGCUACAAUGGCCGGUACAAAGGGCUGCGAUGCCGUGAGGUGGAGCGAAUCCUUUCAAAGCCGGUCUCAGUUCGGAUCGGGGUCUGCAACUCGACCCCGUGAAGUCGGAGUCGCUAGUAAUCGCAGAUCAGCAACGCUGCGGUGAAUACGUUCCCGGGCCUUGUACACACCGCCCGUCACGUCAUGAAAGUCGGUAACACCCGAAGCCGG